RNAcentral lists this ribosomal RNA (253 nucleotides) under uncultured bacterium. Its description in RNAcentral is "partial 16S ribosomal RNA". It matches the Rfam family "Bacterial small subunit ribosomal RNA", at positions 524 to 776 of the family's 1533-position model. The record is from RNAcentral.
UACGGAGGGUGCAAGCGUUAAUCGGAAUUACUGGGCGUAAAGCGCGCGUAGGCGGUUUGUUAAGCGAGAUGUGAAAGCCCUGGGCUCAACCUGGGAACUGCAUUUCGAACUGGCAGGCUAGAGUACAAGAGAGGGUGGUAGAAUUUCCUGUGUAGCGGUGAAAUGCGUAGAUAUAGGAAGGAAUACCAGUGGCGAAGGCGGCCACCUGGCUUGAUACUGACGCUGAGGUGCGAAAGCGUGGGGAGCGAACAGG